UUUUUUUGUAGUACAUAUCUUCCCGUAAUACCAAUGAAUUCACUUUUUUGUGUGACAUUCCAAGUGAGAACACACUAUUAGAGUAGUUUGAAAUCAUUACAAAUGUCUGUUCCUUUCACAAUUUUUUCCUAAGUAUAUUUAAAUAAGAAUAUGUAGAAUAGCAAAUGAGAGUUCUUCAUUUGGAUAUGUUUAUGUUUGUGAAUAUAAUUUUCCAUUUCUACUUUAUAUUUUAGGUCUCUGAUAAAAAUGCACUUUUCAAUUUAAUGUUUCUUGAUCUUGAUAAACAUCCAGAAAAAGUUGAAGGUGUUGGACAGUUGCUCUUUGAAAUGUGCAAAGGAGUUAGAAAUAUGUUUCACUCCUGUACAGGCCAGGCAGUGAAGCUAAUUUUGCGAAAGCUAGGACCAGUCACUGAAACAGAAACUCAACUACCAUGGAUGUUAAUUGGAGAAACACUCAAAAACAUGGUCAAAUCCACUGUAUCCUACAUCUCCAAGGAACAUUUUGGUACAUUUUUUGAAUGUUUGCAAGUGAGUUCUAAUAUUUAAGGAUGGGUUUUUCAUAAGGAGUCUAAGAAUUUACUGUUUCUGCUCUCAGUUUUGC
RNAcentral lists this small RNA (600 nucleotides) under Pongo abelii (Sumatran orangutan). Its description in RNAcentral is "retained intron". Lineage: Eukaryota; Metazoa; Chordata; Mammalia; Primates; Hominidae. The record is from RNAcentral.